CCAAGAAUAGUGUUUGAUGUAUACAAAUUCGAAGGGAAAAUGUCUUGAUGAAGCGUGGAGGAGAGAAUUGCAAUUGGUCUCGAAUCCACAAAGCAACCAAUUGAAGAACUUGACCAAGAUGACAUGUGACCAGAUUCGAAGGGAAAAUAUAAUGCUACUGUGCUUGCUAUAUGUGCAAUCGAAGCUAAGGAAGGAGAAAAUUAAGGAUCAACGGUAAACAAAGGAA
This 226-nucleotide unclassified non-coding RNA is filed under the name Hevea brasiliensis (rubber tree). Lineage: Eukaryota; Viridiplantae; Streptophyta; Magnoliopsida; Malpighiales; Euphorbiaceae. The record is from RNAcentral.